This is a long non-coding RNA of Oreochromis aureus, 382 nucleotides long. Lineage: Eukaryota; Metazoa; Chordata; Actinopteri; Cichliformes; Cichlidae. The record is from Ensembl.
AGAGUCUACAGGGGUUUAAUUGAAUAAUUUACAUUAGUAAAGCUCAGUUUGAUCAGUUAAGAUAAAAACAUUUUUAGUUACAGAUUUUAUUGUUGUGUGAGAGAGUGCAUGGAUAAACUGAUGUGAACAUCUGCUUAUGCUCUUAGUGUAUAAGAAGCAAUUCAAGACUCCUUGAAAAUUAGCAGCAGCAACCUACUGGAUGAUUAAAAUAUCUAUGGCAGGAGGAAAAUACUAAAGUUCUCAGCGUCUCGUGUGCUUCUUCUUCUUUCUCUUCACACAAAGUCGUAGAAGUUUUCAGACGUGUCACAGCUGGAUGUGAGGAUGGGACCCACUUUCCUCUGUGAGCUGGGCCUAUUCUUUCUCUGUACGCUCCUCUGCAGCG